RNAcentral lists this ribosomal RNA (258 nucleotides) under uncultured bacterium. Its description in RNAcentral is "partial 16S ribosomal RNA". It matches the Rfam family "Bacterial small subunit ribosomal RNA", at positions 97 to 353 of the family's 1533-position model. The record is from RNAcentral.
CCGGCACGGGUGAGUAACGCGUAUGCAACCUGCCUGACACAGGGGGAUAAUCCGAAGAAAUUUGGUCUAAUACCCCAUAAUACCGAUAUAGGCAUCUAUGUUGGUUGAAAGCUUUGGUGGUGUCAGAUGGGCAUGCGUUGUAUUAGCUAGUUGGUGAGGUAACGGCUCACCAAGGCGACGAUACAUAGGGGGACUGAGAGGUUAACCCCCCCACACUGGUACUGAGACACGGACCAGACUCCUACGGGAGGCAGCAUG